UACGAAGGGGCCAAGCGUUGCUCGGAAUCACUGGGCGUAAAGGGUGCGUAGGCGGGUCUUUAAGUCAGGGGGGAAAUCCUGGAGCUCAACUCCAGAACUGCCUUUGAUACUGAGGAUCUUGAGUUCGGGAGAGGUGAGUGGAACUGCGAGUGUAGAGGUGAAAUUCGUAGAUAUUCGCAAGAACACCAGUGGCGAAGGCGGCUCACUGGCCCGAUACUGACGCUGAGGCACGAAAGCGUGGGGAGCAAACAGG
Molecule: ribosomal RNA, 253 nt
Filed under: uncultured bacterium
Lineage: Bacteria
Description: partial 16S ribosomal RNA
Rfam family: Bacterial small subunit ribosomal RNA
Source: RNAcentral